GUUGCCCUCCUUCCGUGAAUACCAGCAUAGUACAAAUGCCUUUCGAAAAGCCACUUCUUUGGUGCCACACUGAAAGAACUCAAGGCCAGCCAGCUCCACUGACCUAAAUUGGAUGUAGACUGAAUUAAAUGUAAUGGAUACAGGAGGAAAGGCAGGUGCUAAAAGUACAGUCAUAAGCCUGCAGAAAGCUAUCAGACAUGGAACACCCUUGACUCUUGGUCUCAAAAGAUGCACAGACCUACAGCAGGUGGGGACGCAACUGAAAGUUUUGCACUCUGGACACCUGGAAUUUCCACUCACUUCAGUUACAGCUCUGCCAGAUUUAACAAAUUUAAACAAUCCAAUAAUGUUCCAUGUCUGGUUUGAUGAGAAUAAAAAGCAGUUCUUCCACUGGAUGGUGAGCACUGACAAGGAUGUUGCAGAGGAGUUCACACGUCAGACCUCAAUGUUGAGGGCCUUGAGAUGACACAGCACCGGGCUCCCUGGCUCCCGUGGAAGUGGCACGCACCUUCCGUCACAGAUAGCCGGAACACAGGCAAGGGAAGUCCAGCUGCUUGAGCCCGACAGUGUGUCACUACAGGCUGUGGAGUCAUGUACAAAAGAAUGCUGAAGUCAGAACAAGUCUAGUCAUUACACCUGCUAGAAGGACGUUUUGCUUGUAGGCAAUCACGCAUAAGAACCCUCUUUCAUAACCUCUGCAGCUCUACUUAUUUUGGGAGAUUGACACACAGGGGACCCUUUGAUGCUUGUAACUUCCGCCCUUUGUCUCUGAAUGUAUAUUUUUCUUUCCUAAAGGCAUUGCCAGCUAAUCAUCCACAGCCUUGUCCCCCAGUGCCGAGGCAGCUUUCCCCAGUGAGGGUCCGUCAGGACAGGCCUCGUGUUGGAGGGGUUGUGACAGGUGAUGAGAGUCAGUGAUGUAAACCUUUCUUGACAGUAAUAAAACAGAGGGAGAAAAAUUAUUGUAUAAAGCAUGGAUGAUGUAUCUCAAAGUGUGCCUUGGUUUAGUACAAUUGUCUUAUGUGUUUUGUGUUCUUUGGCCUGUUAGUCUGGCUGUUAACCUGUAGGUAUGAUAAUUAACUUGAUAAAGACGUAAAUUAAUGAAUGAAUCUGAUGCUGGCAAAGUACAUUUUUUUAAAGAGGGGAUGUAGCAGGAGGGGAAAAACAGGAAUUGAGCUGUGUUACGUACCAUUCCGCACAAUGAAUUGUAUUAUGUAUGGCAAACGUAUACUAAUAAAAAUGAGAAAUUAGAAAGAAAGCCAAUCUUUCUGUAAAGCAAGCUUAGUUCUUCUGGAAAGGGAUAUCAAGCAAAUAUUUAAGAGUCCUCUCUGUUUGUAAACCAAUGUGAAUUAUCAUUUAGGAGAAAACAAACAAUUUACUAAUGCCAAGAACAAUAAUUACAGUUUAGUAACAUCUUUAGGAUUUUUAGGUACACAUACAGAACUAUAAACAAUUUUUAAUAGUGUACCAAAAUUAAUAUCUGUAUUCCCAACUAAGAACAUACAUUUUUGAGCAAUACUGUCUCUUAUGGACCAAGAGGAAUAUGGCUUUUGCCAGUUAUAUGACUAUUAGCAAUACCUAAUGUAACAAUUAAGCAAAACAAUUUGAUAACUUUUACAAUAUAUUAGACAACAAUCAU
This is a long non-coding RNA of Chinchilla lanigera (long-tailed chinchilla), 1636 nucleotides long. NCBI's taxonomy places the organism in Eukaryota, Metazoa, Chordata, Mammalia, Rodentia, Chinchillidae. The record is from Ensembl.